GACGAACGCUGGCGGCGUGCUUAACACAUGCAAGUCGAACGGAAAGGCCCUGCUUUUGUGGGGUGCUCGAGUGGCGAACGGGUGAGUAACACGUGAGUAACCUGCCCUUGACUUUGGGAUAACUUCAGGAAACUGGGGCUAAUACCGGAUAGGAGCUCCUGCUGCAUGGUGGGGGUUGGAAAGUUUCGGCGGUUGGGGAUGGACUCGCGGCUUAUCAGCUUGUUGGUGGGGUAGUGGCUUACCAAGGCUUUGACGGGUAGCCGGCCUGAGAGGGUGACCGGCCACAUUGGGACUGAGAUACGGCCCAGACUCCUACGGGAGGCAGCAGUGGGGAAUAUUGCACAAUGGGCGGAAGCCUGAUGCAGCAACGCCGCGUGCGGGGUGACGGCCUUCGGGUUGUAAACCGCUUUCGCCUGUGACGAAGCGUGAGUGACGGUAAUGGGUAAAGAGGCACCGGCUAACUACGUG
Molecule: ribosomal RNA, 468 nt
Filed under: uncultured bacterium
Lineage: Bacteria
Description: partial 16S ribosomal RNA
Rfam family: Bacterial small subunit ribosomal RNA
Source: RNAcentral